CAACCUCUUGUAGCCGCUACCAUUGCGUGCGCGCGAUUGCCACGCACCAGAACAUCGAUGGGCAGGAGGCGGUGCCGGUCCUUGAAGUGUGCGUUAUUUGUGCGGUUCUGCUCCCUCUGAACAGCUUUGCGGAAAGGGCUUUCAGGCACGACGCAUCGAACCGCAUCAUUUCGUGGUCGCCCGUCGGCGGUUUCUCUUUAUUUUCCCCGCCUCUAUUUUCCAAGUUUUUCAUCGCUCCGCUUUUGCUGUGCCUCGUGCGCCCUGGCACGGUACUGUAUCACUACUGCUUCCAUUGCUGCCAACCACAUAGACCUCUCCCUCCGAGAAAGAGCAACGUGCCAUUAUCGCAUCGCCUUAGAAGAUGUUCAGGAGCGCUUCCACGUUUCAGGCGGUGCCGCAAAGCCAGUGGCCCAUACCUUCCACAGCGCGCAGCUGCGUUCAGUGCGGCAAGUCAUUCGGCCUCUUUCAAGCUGCAGGCAACUGUCAUGGAUGCGGACGCGUGUGCUGUCCCAGCUGUCUCACAGAACAUCUUGUGCUACCGGGUCAGCCGGGCUCCCAGCCGGUGCCCGUGUGCAAUAUAUGCUCCAAAGCCAUCAAGCGCACGCUCGAAGAGGCGGAGAUGGCCGUGCAUCGAUGCCACCUACUUGAGGAGAUGCUGAAUGAGCAGGCCAAGCAGGCCGAGAAGCUGCGCAACGAAUUGCGCGAGCAGCAGGAAGAGAACAAACUUCUGACACACGAGAAGGAGAGUCUCAAGGCGACCAUUGCGAGGAUGGAGAUCGAGGCCGAGGUAGCGGCGGCCAAGGCAGCCGCCGCCGCCGCUGCAGCUGCUACGACGAUAGCCAGCACGGUAACGUCAGUGCACUCUCCCGCGGCGACGUCUUUGAAAGCAGACCCUGAUACGCGCGCCAAUGCCAGCACGUCGGCCGAAUCAGUUGCGGCCAUGGAGGAGCUACUGAACAAAAAGAAGCGGCAACUUGACAUGCGCGAGGCAACGCUGAAGGAUGCACUCAAGAAGGUUUCGUCUGACGCGGCGAAGAUCGCGGAUCAGCGUGCCGCGUUGCAGGAGCAGGAGAAGGUGAUGGCGGCACAGCUGACAGCUCAGUUUACAUCCCUCUUCGAAGAGGAGCGGCAGCGUCUAGAGGAUUUCUGCGCAGACGCCGUCACGGAUAUUCAGAACAAGUAUAUGGAGUGGGUAACGCAGCAGCAGGAUGGUGCCCUGGAGCGUCGACGGAGGUACGAGCAGGUGAUGGAGGAGCGUCAGCAGCGCGCGGCUGCAGAGCUGGCCGAGGCGAGGGCGGAGCGUGACGCGCUGCAGCGCGCACUGGAGAGUCAGCGGGCCCAGUUGGCAAAGUUGCAGGAGAGCGCGUUGAAGGUAGGGGCGGAGAGUCGGAGUGAAGAAAAGCGUAACGCCCCUUCGUCACAGUGCGCACGAAAAGGGAAGGAAUCACUCGAGGAAACCGUUGCGGGGGGUGUAGCGCUUGCGGUGGCGACGAAGGGGCAGCUUCAUGCGGGCCAAGCCGAGCCGGUCUCUAACAAACACCUGCGCGAGGAAGAACGACAGACGAGUAAUUGCGCGGCUGCUGCGUGCGCUGCGCUGGAGCAGAAAGCGCAAGACAGCAUGGAGGCCCUCGUGCGUGACAUGCGCGCCAAGGAGGAGGAGUGGGAAAGGGCGAAGGCUGCUGCGGUGGCUACUGCCGAGUCGGCUGUGCGCCUCGCGGAGCGCGAGCGACUGGUGCAAGAGGUCGAGAAAGCUCGACAGCAAAGCCGGCGUGAGGUCGAAGAAGCGGUGCGGGUUGCGACGCAGCAGCGCGACUCCGCCAUAGACGCACUCCGUAAGCAGCACGAGCAUGACAAGGAGGAGUGGCUCUCCAAGAUGCAGCAACUGGAGACGAGCCAGAGACGAAAAGCGGAAUACCAGCAAAGCCAAGACAAGUCCUGGCGUGAGGAGAAGGUGGCGCUGCAGAAAAAGUGCAGCGCACUCGAGACGUGCCUCGAGACACGAAAAACAGCAGCGUGGCAGCUGCAGCAGCAACUACGCGACGCCAAGCAGGAGCUGUACGAUUUGAAGGCAAAUACGGGCGGCAAAGAGGACGCCGCAGCAGAGGAAAGGCGAACGCAAGCCAGUGCCGCUGCGAUGACUGUGCAGCGUUGGGCAUCCGCUGUCCUCGAGGAAGUUCAGCAGGGGCAGCAGCUGAUGCUCGAAGAACAGGCGCGCGCCCUGGCACUUCUGCAGGACGAAAUGCAGAAGCGGGCGCUGGCCAACUAUGCAGCUGCGAAUGCCAGAGACGAGAGGCAACGCGAGGCAACUCAACGGCUGCACACGGAACUGGAAAGCGCUCGACAAGAACGGGACACGGCACUGGAGCAGUUGGGUCGCAUGCGAGAGACUGCAGCAGACAUGACGGCGAGAAUGAGUGAGGAGAGUGCGCAGCUGGGCACGCUGCGUGGCGCAUUGCAGAGGCAGCAGCGAGCUCUGGCCGAAUUGCAGGAGAAGCAUCAGCGCACUGUUGACGAACUCCACGCAACACGAGCGGCAGUGGCUGCCGCCGCCACUGCCGCUGAUGCAGCUGCCCCGCUGGCGGAGUCCCCAGUUCGCGUGAUGCCUGCCGUGGACGACACCUGCUAUCAUGUGUUGCUCCGCCUGGAGCAGCGCUGGGUGCAGCAGCAGGCGCAUCUACAGAGUCUCUACUCGGUGGCGCUUUAUGCAGUGGUGCAGCAGGAGUGGACGCAGGUGUUUGAAAGCAUGACGUCGUCGUUGGCGACGGAGGCAGAGCGGCAGCGGAGUUUGCGCAUCCGAAACGCGGAGGCUCUGGAGAAUACGACGAGUACCAUCAAGGAGGUGCAGGAUGACUUGCGCCUGCGCACGCAGGAGCUACUGCAACGUCAAGUCGACGUUGAGGAACGUGAAAGGCGCGUGCAAGACAAGAAGAAACGGGUGGAUGUGGUGUGCCGCAGCCUGUACACGGUGGCUCAAGAGCUGCGCAAGGUGCAUCUCGACGCCGCAGAGAGUUCUACGUUGGACGAGGUAAUGAACUCAGCCCGUGUGAUGAGUGAUUCCCCGUAGCUGUCUAGAAUGAACUGCAUGAGCCAGGUGGCCGGUGACGCAUGUGUGGUGCCGGCGCUCCUGCUGGAGAUGGGCAAGGUAGGGCGGCGUUGGAGACGAGGAGAGCUCGUCGGCCAGCCCACUCUUGGCAUGCGCGCCUCUGUUGCAUAUUCUCUGUUUUUGUUUGCUGCGUCGUGUCUUCGUUGCGCUCGUGUUUUGGUGGGGCCGGCGUGGUUUGCCGCGCUGUCUGUUUGGCCGCUUUUAGUGGUGUUGCCUCCUCUACUAAGGGUGGCGCGUUGGGUGCCGCCCCGCCCCUUUUCUUCAAGCACGCCCCCGCUCUCUGCGCAACGGCAAAAGUGCGCGCCUGUCCGCUCGAUCACUGUGCGUGCCUCUGCGAGAGAUUCUUCCUCGGAACCCCGUGUCAUCGUCACGUGCGGGUUGUCGCAGCAAUCCCCGCCGCAGCUGCGUCUCUCUGUCGCGCCUCGUUCUAAGUGUGGGCGCUCUGAGCACACGGGCGGCAGCAGACAUCUCUGCGUGCCCCACUCUUGUCUCCAUCCCGGCCACCGAUCACGCCAUUCGACCGCUUUGCGUGGAUGCUGCGCGGUGGCCGGCGCCCCUGUCUUCACGUUGCCAACUGCUUUUCCGCGCGUCCGCGUAGCACUG
This 3706-nucleotide unclassified non-coding RNA is filed under the name Leishmania donovani. RNAcentral's name for it is "gene:LdHU3.12.0160(CDS-product:hypothetical_prote in_conserved)". Lineage: Eukaryota; Euglenozoa; Kinetoplastea; Trypanosomatida; Trypanosomatidae. The record is from RNAcentral.